UGUGUUAAAAGUAAACAAUUAUAGGUUAAAUUACGGCCUUCAACAAGGAGCGUUUACUCAAACCGAACAGCAAGCUAUAAAAAGAGCCACACAAUUUGUUUUGUCAUAUUUCCGCCGCUGCCGAGAAAUUCUUCAACUAGUUCCUGCAUUAAUUGAUCUUAAUCUUCCGCCGAAAUGUUUGAAACGUUAAUUUUUGUUAAAA
Molecule: long non-coding RNA, 202 nt
Filed under: Mytilus galloprovincialis (Mediterranean mussel)
Lineage: Eukaryota; Metazoa; Mollusca; Bivalvia; Mytilida; Mytilidae
Source: RNAcentral